CGAAGGUGGGACUGGCGAUUGGGACGAAGUCGUAACAAGGUAGCCGUACCGGAAGGUGCGGCUGGAUCACCUCCUUU
This is a non-coding RNA of Streptomyces sp. WM6378, 77 nucleotides long. The record is from Rfam. Lineage: Bacteria; Bacillati; Actinomycetota; Actinomycetes; Kitasatosporales; Streptomycetaceae.